UGGGGAAUAUUGGACAAUGGGCGAAAGCCUGAUCCAGCCAUGCCGCGUGUGUGAAGAAGGUCUUCGGAUUGUAAAGCACUUUAAGUUGGGAGGAAGGGCAUUAACCUAAUACGUUAGUGUUUUGACGUUACCGACAGAAUAAGCACCGGCUAACUCUGUGCCAGCAGCCGCGGUAAUACAGAGUGUGCAAGCGUUAAUCGGAAUUACUGGGCGUAAAGCGCGCGUAGGUGGUUUGUUAAGUUGGAUGUGAAAUCCCCGGGCUCAACCUGGGAACUGCAUUCAAAACUGACUGACUAGAGUAUGGUAGAGGGUGGUGGAAUUUCCUGUGUAGCGGUGAAAUGCGUAGAUAUAGGAAGGAACACCAGUGGCGAAGGCGACCACCUGGACUAAUACUGACACUGAGGUGCGAAAGCGUGGGGAGCAAACA
This 427-nucleotide ribosomal RNA is filed under the name uncultured bacterium. RNAcentral describes it as "partial 16S ribosomal RNA". It matches the Rfam family "Bacterial small subunit ribosomal RNA", at positions 355 to 774 of the family's 1533-position model. The record is from RNAcentral.